AAAGGCAGCAUGAUUCACAGACUGGAGGGUGACAGUGACCAGAGCAAGUUUAACCUUUUAAAGAGGAAGGAUCUGUUGCUUGGCUACCAGGCAACAAGGAAGGCUACUCAGAGAGGGGUCCCCACAAGGGAUGAGGGACAAGUUGCCUAACCCUGUGGCAGACGGCUCUGCUUCUCUUCAUGGGCUAUGGAUCUGGAAAGCUCCUGGGUGCAUUGAGGAGUAGCUCACCUAGCAGCCAAGACCUAUUCCCUGCCCCAGUGCCCCAGUGCCCCAGAAACAGGCCAAGCCCCAGACUCUCCUGGCAUAGAUACCGGCUCUGGUCCAGCCUCACACCAUCAG
This 339-nucleotide long non-coding RNA is filed under the name Homo sapiens (human). RNAcentral describes it as "HSALNT0020301". The record is from RNAcentral. Lineage: Eukaryota; Metazoa; Chordata; Mammalia; Primates; Hominidae.